UACGAAGGGGGCUAGCGUUGUUCGGAAUCACUGGGCGUAAAGCGCACGUAGGCGGCUCUUUAAGUCGGGGGUGAAUCCUGGAGCUCAACUCCAGAACUGCCUUCGAUACUGUAGAGCUUGAGUUCGGGAGAGGUGAGUGGAACUGCGAGUGUAGAGGUGAAAUUCGUAGAUAUUCGCAAGAACACCAGUGGCGAAGGCGGCUCACUGGCCCGAUACUGACGCUGAGGUGCGAAAGCGUGGGGAGCAAACAGGG
Molecule: ribosomal RNA, 253 nt
Filed under: uncultured bacterium
Lineage: Bacteria
Description: partial 16S ribosomal RNA
Rfam family: Bacterial small subunit ribosomal RNA
Source: RNAcentral